GCUCGGGAGAAGAUUCACCGAGAAAUUAUACGUACACGAAUCUCUGAGUAUAUAGAUACAGAUAAUGGAGGAUGAAGCGGAGAUAUUUGAGGGACUCAGAUCGCAGUUCCCCUUGAGUUUCGGUAAGCAAUCCAAAUCCGAGACCCCUCUGGAGCUCAUUCACAACGCCACCCGUCGGGCCGCCGCUGCCGCCACCACUUCUACCGCAGUCAACUCGGAUAAGCCAUCUGCAUCCACCUCUAGUGACAAGGCAAAUGCGUUUCCUUCUCUAUCCAGCUCCUCUAAAGGCUGGCUCGAUUCCUUGAAAAACUCUAACCCUAGAAAUCCGAAGAAGAAAGCAAAAGAGGAUGAAUUAAUUGGGCCUCCCCGCCGACCAGUGAGUUCGGAUGGGACGGCGAUAAUUGGGCCGCCUAGGCCGCCUCCUGGAAGUGGUGUGGUGGAUGAGGAUGAUGAACCAGUAAUUGGGCCGCCUAGGCCGCGUCCUGGUGGAGAUGGUGACGAUGAUGAUGAUGAGCCAAUGGUUGGGCCGCCCAGGCCGCCUCCUGGCGGAGAAGGUGAGGAUGAUGACGGCGGGUCAAUGAUUGGGCCGCCUAGACCACCUCCUGGCGGCAUGCAGUCUGAUUCUGACGAAGAUAUGGACGAAGAAGAUGAGAAUUCUGGGUAUCGAAUUCCACUGAGCAAUGAGAUUGUCUUGAAGGGGCAUACCAAGGUGGUUGCGGCGCUUGCUGUGGAUCACUCAGGAUCUCGAGUCCUAUCUGGCAGCUACGACUAUACGGUUCGCAUGUAUGACUUUCAGGGCAUGAAUUCUCGUCUUCAGUCAUUUAGACAGCUUGAGCCAUUUGAAGGUCAUCAAAUUCGUGGUUUGAGUUGGAGUCCUACAGCAGAUCGAUUUUUGUGUGUGACUGGCUCAGCCCAGGCUAAGAUCUAUGACCGUGAUGGUCUUACACUGGGCGAGUUUGUUAAGGGGGACAUGUAUAUUAGGGAUCUUAAGAAUACUAAAGGCCACAUAUCUGGAUUGACUUGUGGAGAGUGGCACCCAAAGGCAAAGGAGACUAUCUUAACAUCUUCUGAGGACGGUUCACUACGAAUAUGGGAUGUAAAUGACUUCAAAAGUCAAAAGCAGGUUAUUAAACCCAAACUUUCUAGGCCUGGACGAGUUCCUGUAACCACGUGUUCCUGGGAUCGUGAAGGAAAACGAAUUGCAGGAGGUAUUGGGGAUGGUUCCAUACAGGUAUGGAACAUUAAAGCUGGAUGGGGAAGCAGGCCAGACAUAUACGUUGCAAAUGGCCACACUGAUGAUAUUACAGGAAUUAAGUUUUCCAGUGACGGAUUAACAUUGUUGUCAAGAAGCUUUGAUGGUUCACUCAAGGUCUGGGAUUUACGUCAAAUGAAGGAGGCUCUUCAAGUGUUUGAUGAUCUUCCGAAUCAUUAUGCUCAGACAAAUAUUACAUUCAGCCCCGACGAGCAACUCUUCUUGACUGGAACAUCAAUUGAAAGGGAAAGCACAACAGGGGGUCUGCUAUGUAUUUAUGAUAGAGCUAAAUUGGAACUGGUCUCUCGAGUUGGAAUAUCGCCUACAUUUAGUGUAGUUCAGUGUGCUUGGCAUCCAAGACUAAAUCAGAUCUUCGCAACAGUAGGGGACAGGCAUGAAGGAGGAACUCACAUACUAUAUGAUCCAACCAUCAGCGAGAGAGGGGCACUUGUGUGUGUUGCACGUGCGCCAAGGAAGCAAUCCGUUGAUGAUUUUCAGGCACAGCCCGUUAUUCACAAUCCUCAUGCACUACCGUUAUUCAGAGAUCAGCCUAGCCGCAAACGCCAGCGUGAGAAGAUAUUGAAGGACCCACUUAAGUCUCACAAACCUGAGCUACCAAUAAAUGGGCCAGGUCAUGGUGGAAGAGUUGGUUCCACCAAGGGAAGUUUGCUAACACAAUACCUUCUCAAGCAAGGUGGCUUGAUUAAGGAAACUUGGAUGGAGGAAGAUCCCAGAGAAGCGAUCCUGAAGUAUGCUGAUGUUGCUGCCAAAGAUCCUAAGUUUAUUGCCCCAGCAUAUGCAGAGACACAGCCUGAACCAGUGUUUGCCAAGUCUGACUCAGAGGAUGAGGAGAAAUAACUGGUGAUUAUGGGCAUUCUUUCUCAUUGUUGACAUUAGAAUAACAUUUCAUGAACAUUGAUAGGAUGGUAAAUGGAGAUUGCAUUCCUGUAUUUGUAGGAUAAAAUGAGUUCCCAUCAAGUUAUGAAUACCUGCUUCUGAGUCAGUUCAAAAUAUCAAACAACUUAAACAGCAGGAGGAAUAACCAUGGAAACUUGUGAAGAGAAGCAAUUCCAACGGUAUGAAGAGCUGUAAAA
Sesamum indicum (sesame) is the source of this 2346-nucleotide RNA transcript. It is a transcript of the gene named Transducin/WD40 repeat-like superfamily protein, with no coding region annotated. The record is from RefSeq and is a predicted model, not a curated record. NCBI's taxonomy places the organism in Eukaryota, Viridiplantae, Streptophyta, Magnoliopsida, Lamiales, Pedaliaceae.